UUCCGGUUGAUCCUGCCGGACCUGACUGCUAUCGGAUUGAUACUAAGCCAUGCGAGUCUUUGUAGUAAUACAAGGCAUACGGCUCAGUAACACGUAGUCAACCUACCCUAUGGACAAGAAUAAUCUCGGGAAACUGAGCAUAAUUCUUGAUAGAUCAUAAUGCCUGGAAUGGUUUAUGGUUAAAAUGAUUCGUCGCCAUAGGAUGGGACUGCGGCCUAUCAGCUUGUUGGUGAGGUAAUGGCCCACCAAGGCGAUAACAGGUACGGGCUCUGAGAGGAGAAGCCCGGAGAUGGGUACUGAGACACGGACCCAGGCCCUAUGGGGCGCAGCAGGCGAGAAAACUUUGCAAUGUGCGAAAGCACGACAAGGUUAAUCCGAGUGAUUUCUGCUAAAGAGAUCUUUUACCAGUCAUAAAACCACUGGUGAAUAAGGGGUGGGCAAGUUCUGGUGUCAGCCGCCGCGGUAAAACCAGCACCUCAAGUGGUCAGGAUGAUUAUUGGGCCUAAAGCAUCCGUAGCCGGCUCUGUAAGUUUUCGGUUAAAUCCAUGUGCUCAACGCAUGGGCUGCCGAAAAUACUGCAUAGCUAGGGAGUGGGAGAGGUAGACGGUACUCAGUAGGAAGGGGUAAAAUCCUUUGAUCUAUUGAUGACCACCUGUGGCGAAGGCGGUCUACCAGAACACGUUCGACGGUGAGGGAUGAAAGCUGGGGGAGCAAACCGGAUUAGAUACCCGGGUAGUCCCAGCUGUAAACGAUGCAGACUCGAUGAUGCAUUGGCAUAUAGCCAGUGCAGUGUCGCAGGGAAGCCGUUAAGUCUACCGCCUGGGAAGUACGUACGCAAGUAUGAAACUUAAAGGAAUUGGCGGGGGAGCACCACAAGGGGUGAAGCCUGCGGUUCAAUUGGAGUCAACGCCGGG
Molecule: ribosomal RNA, 914 nt
Filed under: uncultured marine archaeon
Lineage: Archaea
Description: bacterial SSU rRNA
Rfam family: Archaeal small subunit ribosomal RNA
Source: RNAcentral